Molecule: ribosomal RNA, 912 nt
Filed under: Paraepicoccum amazonense
Lineage: Eukaryota; Fungi; Ascomycota; Dothideomycetes; Pleosporales
Description: partial 28S ribosomal RNA
Rfam family: Eukaryotic large subunit ribosomal RNA
Source: RNAcentral
AUACAUAUCAAUAAGCGGAGGAAAAGAAACCAACAGGGAUUGCCCUAGUAACGGCGAGUGAAGCGGCAACAGCUCAAAUUUGAAAUCUGGCUCUUUCAGAGUCCGAGUUGUAAUUUGCAGAGGGCGCUUUGGCGUUGGCAGCGGUCCAAGUUCCUUGGAACAGGACGUCACAGAGGGUGAGAAUCCCGUACGUGGUCGCUGGCCUUCGCCGUGUAAAGCCCCUUCGACGAGUCGAGUUGUUUGGGAAUGCAGCUCUAAAUGGGAGGUAAAUUUCUUCUAAAGCUAAAUACUGGCCAGAGACCGAUAGCGCACAAGUAGAGUGAUCGAAAGAUGAAAAGCACUUUGGAAAGAGAGUCAAAUAGCACGUGAAAUUGUUGAAAGGGAAGCGCUUGCAGCCAGACUUGCCUGUAGUUGCUCAUCCGGGCUUUUGCCCGGUGCACUCUUCUGCGGGCAGGCCAGCAUCAGUUUAGGCGGUUGGAUAAAGGUCUCUAUCAAGUACCUCUCUUCGGGGAGGCCUUAUAGGGGAGACGUAAUGCAGCCAGCUUGAACUGAGGUCCGCGCAUUUUGCUAGGAUGCUGGCGUAAUGGCUGUAAGCGGCCCGUCUUGAAACACGGACCAAGGAGUCUAACAUCUAUGCGAGUGUUUGGGUGUCAAGCCCGAACGCGUAAUGAAAGUGAACGGAGGUGGGAACCCAUUAGGGUGCACCAUCGACCGAUCCUGAUGUCUUCGGAUGGAUUUGAGUAAGAGCAUGGCUGUUGGGACCCGAAAGAUGGUGAACUAUGCUUGAAUAGGGUGAAGCCAGAGGAAACUCUGGUGGAGGCUCGCAGCGGUUCUGACGUGCAAAUCGAUCGUCAAAUUUGGGCAUAGGGGCGAAAGACUAAUCGAACUAUCUAGUAGCUGGUUCCUGCGAGU